Molecule: long non-coding RNA, 343 nt
Organism: Uranotaenia lowii
Lineage: Eukaryota; Metazoa; Arthropoda; Insecta; Diptera; Culicidae
Exons: 3
Source: RefSeq, a predicted model, not a curated record
GACCACUCACGGGAAACGUCAGUACAAAAGGUAAAGAAUGUUUGUUUGUAAUUUUCAAUUUAUGGAUCCAAAUUUUAUGAUUAAUUUUCAUGUUUAUAUUCACCGGUGUUCAAAGUUGGUGGAUUUUAAAGCUAAAACUGCGGUGAGGAAAAAUCCGGAAAGGCCGAAAUUGCUUCCCCAAAAAUCACCAGAUUUCACACCUGGACUGAACUAAGCAGUUGAAGUGGAAGAAAAUUAACAGCAGAUAAUCUAAAGGGUAGGUUUUAUGUAUCGUUCAACAUUAUGAACAGAUACUCAUAUUGUUUCGUACUUUUUUUUUUUUCUAUUUUCAGGUUUUGAGUCA